Molecule: ribosomal RNA, 301 nt
Filed under: uncultured bacterium
Lineage: Bacteria
Description: partial 16S ribosomal RNA
Rfam family: Bacterial small subunit ribosomal RNA
Source: RNAcentral
CAGUAGCCGCGGUAACACGUAGGGUGCAAGCGUUAAUCGGAAUUACUGGGCGUAAAGCGUGCGCAGGCGGUUCGGAAAGAAAGAUGUGAAAUCCCAGGGCUUAACCUUGGAACUGCAUUUUUAACUCCCGGACUAGAGUAUGUCAGAGGGGGUGGAAUUCCACGUGUAGCAGUGAAAUGCGUAGAUAUGUGGAGGAACACCGAUGGCGAAGGCAGCCCCCUGGGAUAAUACUGACGCUCAUGCACGAAAGCGUGGGGAGCAAACAGGAUUAGAUACCCCAGUAGUCCCUGUCUCUUAUACA